This 72-nucleotide transfer RNA is filed under the name Streptomyces noursei. Its description in RNAcentral is "tRNA-Arg". It matches the Rfam family "tRNA". Rfam says of the family: Transfer RNA (tRNA) molecules are approximately 80 nucleotides in length. Lineage: Bacteria; Bacillati; Actinomycetota; Actinomycetes; Kitasatosporales; Streptomycetaceae. The record is from RNAcentral.
GCCUAGCUCAGGGGAUAGAGCACCGCUCUCCUAAAGCGGGUGUCGCAGGUUCGAAUCCUGCCGGGGGCACCA